GAAAUUGAGGUUCAAAGUGUGCCACUCAAAAGGAAGUUUAUGUGGGAAAAAUGAAGUUGUCCCACAUAGGAAAAAGAUGAAAAACUCUAAAGGUCAUUGCCAUUAAUGGUAGCCUAACCUAUAAAUAGUGGCUCAUUUUCCUCAUUUCAACACACCAAAGCAAAAGUUUUCAAGUUUAGAAUACACAAGAAAUUCAUUUGUAUAGAGUUCUGUCUUUUC
This 219-nucleotide long non-coding RNA is filed under the name Olea europaea (common olive). RNAcentral describes it as "long non-coding RNA (OEUR_LNC000042)". Lineage: Eukaryota; Viridiplantae; Streptophyta; Magnoliopsida; Lamiales; Oleaceae. The record is from RNAcentral.